AAUAUGCCUUUUGGUGGGGGACAACAGUUGGAAACGACUGCUAAUACCGCAUGAUGUCUACGGACCAAAGUGGGGGACCUUCGGGCCUCACGCCAAGAGAUUAGCCCAAGUGGGAUUAGCUAGUUGGUAAGGUAAUGGCUUCCAAGGCGACGAUCCCUAGCUGGUUUGAGAGGAUGAUCAGCCACACUGGGACUGAGACACGGCCCAGACUCCUACGGGAGGCAGCAGUGGGGAAUAUUGCACAAUGGGCGCAAGCCUGAUGCAGCCAUGCCGCGUGUGUGAAGAAGGCCUUCGGGUUGUAAAGCACUUUCAGUAAGGAGGAAA
Molecule: ribosomal RNA, 324 nt
Filed under: marine bacterium SIMO-4462
Lineage: Bacteria
Description: bacterial SSU rRNA
Rfam family: Bacterial small subunit ribosomal RNA
Source: RNAcentral